CUACGGGUGGCAGCAGUGGGGAAUAUUGGACAAUGGGCGAAAGCCUGAUCCAGCCAUGCCGCGUGUGUGAAGAAGGCCUUCGGGUUGUAAAGCACUUUCAGUGGGGAAGAAAGCCUUGGGGCUAAUACCCUCGAGGAAGGACAUCACCCACAGAAGAAGCACCGGCUAACUCCGUGCCAGCAGCCGCGGUAAUACGGAGGGUGCGAGCGUUAAUCGGAAUUACUGGGCGUAAAGCGCGCGUAGGCGGUCUGAUAAGCCGGUUGUGAAAGCCCCGGGCUCAACCUGGGAACGGCAUCCGGAACUGUCAGGCUAGAGUGCAGGAGAGGAAGGUAGAAUUCCCGGUGUAGCGGUGAAAUGCGUAGAGAUCGGGAGGAAUACCAGUGGCGAAGGCGGCCUUCUGGACUGACACUGACGCUGAGGUGCGAAAGCGUGGGUAGCAAACAGGACUAGAUACCCGAGUAGUC
Molecule: ribosomal RNA, 464 nt
Filed under: Vreelandella stevensii
Lineage: Bacteria; Pseudomonadati; Pseudomonadota; Gammaproteobacteria; Oceanospirillales; Halomonadaceae
Description: partial 16S ribosomal RNA
Rfam family: Bacterial small subunit ribosomal RNA
Source: RNAcentral